AGAGUUUGAUCAUGGCUCAGGAUGAACGCUGGCGGCGUGCCUUAGGCAUGCAAGUCGAACGGGCUGCGGUCGCAAGACCAAAGUCAGUGGCAGACGGGUGAGUAACGCGUAGGAAUCUACCCCAGAGUGGAGCAUAGCCCCGCGAAAGCGGGGGUAAUUCUCCAUGGUCCCGUAAGGGUAAAGGCCUUAACUGGCCGCUUUGGGAGGAGCCUGCGUCCUAUCAGCUAGUUGGUGAGGUAAUGGCUUACCAAGGCAAUGACGGGUAGCUGGACUGAGAGGUCGAUCAGCCACAAUCGCACUGAGACACGGGCAGUACACCUACGGGUGGCAGCAACCAGGAAUAUUGGGCAAUGGACGAAAGUCUGACCCAGCGACGCCGCGUGGAGGAAGACGGCCUUCGGGUUGUAAACUCCUUUUGCCAAGCUCUUCACAGCUUGGAGAAUAAGCCUCUACUAACUACGUGCCAGAAGUCUCGGUGAUGCGUAGGAGGCAAGCGUUAUCCGGAUACA
Molecule: ribosomal RNA, 509 nt
Filed under: uncultured soil bacterium
Lineage: Bacteria
Description: bacterial SSU rRNA
Rfam family: Bacterial small subunit ribosomal RNA
Source: RNAcentral